This 256-nucleotide ribosomal RNA is filed under the name uncultured bacterium. RNAcentral's name for it is "partial 16S ribosomal RNA". It matches the Rfam family "Bacterial small subunit ribosomal RNA", at positions 524 to 776 of the family's 1533-position model. The record is from RNAcentral.
UACGUAGGGGGCAAGCGUUGUCCGGAAUCAUUGGGCGUAAAGCGCCGCGUAGGCGGCCAGAUAAGUCCGGUGUGAAAGUCACAGGCUCAACCUGUGAAUGCCGCUGGAAACUGUCUGGCUUGAGGUCCGGAAGGGGCGAGUGGAAUUCCUGGUGUAGCGGUAGAAAUGCGCAGAUAUCAGGAGGAACACCAAUGGCGAAGGCAGCUCGCUGGAACGGUACUGACGCUGAGGCGCGAAAGCGUGGGGAGCGAACAGG